This 1359-nucleotide ribosomal RNA is filed under the name human gut metagenome. Its description in RNAcentral is "bacterial LSU rRNA". It matches the Rfam family "Bacterial large subunit ribosomal RNA", at positions 999 to 2387 of the family's 2925-position model. The record is from RNAcentral.
UAAGUUGGAUGGUCAAAAGGGAAAGAGCCCAGACCUACAGCUAAGGUCCCAAAGUGCGUGUUAAGUGGAAAAGGAUGUGGGGAUUCUAAGACAACUAGGACGUUGGCUUAGAAGCAGCCAUUCAUUGAAAGAGUGCGUAAUAGCUCACUAGUCGAGAGUCCCUGCGCCGAAAAUGUCCGGGGCUGAAACACGACACCGAAGCUUAGGAAUGUGUAAACAUUGGUAGAGGAGCAUUGCUAGCGGGAUGAAGCCAUACCGUAAGGAGUGGUGGACUGCUAGGAAGAGAGAAUGCCGGAAUGAGUAGCGAGAUGAAGGUGAGAAUCCUUCAGGCCGAAUAUCUAAGGUUUCCAGAGUAAAGCUGAUCUGCUCUGGGUAAGUCGGGACCUAAGGCGAGGUCGAAAGACGUAGUCGAUGGAUAACAGGUUGAAAUUCCUGUACCGCAUAUAAACAGAACUGUGGGGACACAGACAGGGAAUGGAAUCCGGGAAUGGAAAUCCCGGUGCAAGCGAGGUAGGAGUGCUGUUGGCAAAUCCGCAGCACGAUCUGAAGACGUGACGCGUACCGAACAUAAGUAGGGAAGUCCAGGCCCCUGGCUGUCAAGAAAAGCCGCUAUUGUUUUAUAUGUGCCCGUACCGCAAACCGACACAGGUGGAUGAGGAGAGAAUCCUAAGGCCGACGGGAGAAGUAUUGUUAAGGAACUCGGCAAAAUGACUCCGUAACUUCGGGAGAAGGAGUGCCAUGAGAGUGGCCGCAGAGAAAUGGCCCAAGCAACUGUUUAGCAAAAACACAGGUCUAUGCAAAACCGCAAGGUGAAGUAUAUGGGCUGACGCCUGCCCGGUGCUGGAAGGUUAAGGGGAGAGGUUAGCGCAAGCGAAGCUUUGAACUUAAGCCCCAGUAAACGGCGGCCGUAACUAUAACGGUCCUAAGGUAGCGAAAUUCCUUGUCGGGUAAGUUCCGACCCGCACGAAAGGCGUAAUGAUUUGGGCACUGUCUCAACGAUACACCCGGUGAAAUUGAAAUACCAGUGAAGAUGCUGGUUACCUGCGCCAGGACGGAAAGACCCCAUGGAGCUUUACUCCAGUUUGAUACUGGGAUUCGGCAUGGUAUGUACAGGAUAGGUGGGAGACUGAGAAGGUAUGACGUCAGUUGUACCGGAGUCGCUGUUGGGAUACCACCCUUACCAUGUUGGAUUUCUAACCUGUGGCCGUAAGCCGGUCAGGGGACAAUGUCAGGCGGGGAGUUUGACUGGGGCGGUCGCCUCCGAAAGGGUAUCGGAGGCGCUCAAAGGUUCCCUCAGAAUGGUUGGAAACCAUUCGAAGAGUGCAAAGGCAGAAGGGAGCUUGACUGCGACACCGACGG